UGCAGUCGAGCGGACAGAAGGGAGCUUGCUCCCGGAUGUUAGCGGCGGACGGGUGAGUAACACGUGGGUAACCUGCCUGUAAGACUGGGAUAACUCCGGGAAACCGGAGCUAAUACCGGAUAGUUCCUUGAACCGCAUGGUUCAAGGAUGAAAGACGGUUUCGGCUGUCACUUACAGAUGGACCCGCGGCGCAUUAGCUAGUUGGUGAGGUAACGGCUCACCAAGGCGACGAUGCGUAGCCGACCUGAGAGGGUGAUCGGCCACACUGGGACUGAGACACGGCCCAGACUCCUACGGGAGGCAGCAGUAGGGAAUCUUCCGCAAUGGACGAAAGUCUGACGGAGCAACGCCGCGUGAGUGAUGAAGGUUUUCGGAUCGUAAAGCUCUGUUGUUAGGGAAGAACAAGUGCAAGAGUAACUGCUUGCACCUUGACGGUACCUAACCAGAAAGCCACGGCUAACUACGUGCCAGCAGCCGCGGUAAUACGUAGGUGGCAAGCGUUGUCCGGAAUUAUUGGGCGUAAAGGGCUCGCAGGCGGUUUCUUAAGUCUGAUGUGAAAGCCCCCGGCUCAACCGGGGAGGGUCAUUGGAAACUGGGAAACUUGAGUGCAGAAGAGGAGAGUGGAAUUCCACGUGUAGCGGUGAAAUGCGUAGAGAUGUGGAGGAACACCAGUGGCGAAGGCGACUCUCUGGUCUGUAACUGACGCUGAGGAGCGAAAGCGUGGGGAGCGAACAGGAUUAGAUACCCUGGUAGUCCACGCCGUAAACGAUGAGUGCUAAGU
This 781-nucleotide ribosomal RNA is filed under the name Bacillus sp. (in: firmicutes). RNAcentral's name for it is "bacterial SSU rRNA". It matches the Rfam family "Bacterial small subunit ribosomal RNA", at positions 56 to 821 of the family's 1533-position model. The record is from RNAcentral. Lineage: Bacteria; Bacillati; Bacillota; Bacilli; Caryophanales; Bacillaceae.